ACCGGCGCACGGGUGAGUAACACGUAUGCAACCUGCCUGUAAGAGGGGAAUAACCCGUUGAAAGACGGACUAAUACCGCAUAAAACUGGGAAUCUGCAUGGAUAUUCAGUUAAACAUUUAUGGCUUACAGAUGGGCAUGCGCAUGAUUAGAUAGUUGGAGAGGUAACGGCUCCCCAAGUCAACGAUCAUUAGGGGUUCUGAGAGGAAGGUCCCCCACACUGGUACUGAGACACGGACCAGACUCCUACGGGAGGCAGCAGUGAGGAAUAUUGGUCAAUGGGCGAGAGCCUGAACCAGCCAAGUCGCGUGCAGGAAGAAUGUCCUAUGGAUUGUAAACUGCUUUUGCAGGGGAAUAAAGUGAGCCACGUGUGGUUUUUUGUAUGUACUCUGCGAAUAAGGAUCGGCUAACUCCGUGCCAGCAGCCGCGGUAAUACGGAGGAUCCGAGCGUUAUCCGGAUUUAUUGGGUUUAAAGGGUGCGUAGGCGGGAUAAUAAGUCAGUGGUGAAAGUUUGCAGCUCAACUGUAAGAUUGCCGUUGAAACUGUUAUUCUGAGAGUAGAUAAGGUAGGCGGAAUGCGUGGUGUAGCGGUGAAAUGCAUAGAUAUCGCGCGGAACGCCGAUUGCGAAGGCAGCUUACUAAGCUACGACUGACGCUGAGGCACGAAAGCGUGGGGAUCAAACGGGAUUAGAGACCCUGGUAGUCCACGCC
This 708-nucleotide ribosomal RNA is filed under the name uncultured bacterium. RNAcentral's name for it is "bacterial SSU rRNA". It matches the Rfam family "Bacterial small subunit ribosomal RNA", at positions 94 to 801 of the family's 1533-position model. The record is from RNAcentral.